AAAGUCUAUAGCCAGUGCAUUUGAAAACUCCCCUUGCACCAGGGCUGACUGUAGCUGGGGGAAGACAUUUUACUCAUUUGCUCUUUCCUUUCAUACAGUCAGCUGGUCCCUCUUCUCAGGUGUAGAUCACCUAUUAUAAUUUUACCUAAUUUUGAUACUCUGAUAAGGAAAGUCCCAGGACUUAUCAGCUGGGAUAGGCCUCACUUACAAGACAGCUCUGUUCAGUAUUUGGAAGAAAGAAAGCCUGACAGGUUUCUUCGGAAAAGUGGCCAUCCAUGGAAUGAAUGAAAUGUUCUCUUUCUAUUCCAAUCCAACUUAGAAAUAAUGUUUCAUUCAAGAUAAGGCUCGUGGCUUAGGAGAUUGUGACCUGGCUUGCAUCAUUCUAAGACUUCUAUCGUCUGUUUUCAAAACCCAAGGAGGACCUCCUUUUCUGUGUGAUAGUUCCUCAUGCUUUGCCAGCCACUGGGUCUUUAAGGAAGCUUGCCAAGAGUUCCCGGCUGGGAAGGACAGUUCGAGUUCAUCAUAGACAAUGAGCUGGCACCACAGUUUAAGUGACUCACCAACCUGGUUGCCCACUUCAAAAUGUCAAGAACCACACUAUCUAAUUGAAAGAACUGUGUUUUAGCAAAGUGUAAUUGGAUCGCCUGGCAAGAUCAUCUCAAACUAUGUCUCUGACCUUGCCUUUCAGUGGCUAUUUUGAGCACAAGAGGAGAAAGGAAAUGAUUCCUGAAUUAUAUCUUGUUUUUAAAAAUUAAGAUUAAUUAAUACUUGGUUUUAUGUUCAUUCCAUUGUAGGAACUUAGUGAUUAUUACAAAACAGUCAAAAUAGGUCAUAGCAAAAUGAACGUUUAAGAUUAGGUUAAAACAUUCCUCUGAAAUUUUAGUAUUCACUUUUGAAGUGUCAAUUACUAUAUUUCUGUAAUUUCUCAUUUUUUUCUUGGCUUAGAGUCAAGAUGAAAAAUGAUAUUUGAAUCAAAGACAUUGUUUUGUUAUAUAGCCACUCCUUUCUAAAAUGCAAAUCCACCCUCCCCUCACCAAUGCUUUAUUCUUUGUGCGCGCACACACACACACACACACACACACACACACACACACACACAGACAUACACAGAACCAGCACCCAAAUGGUAGAGGAGGUCCUUCCAAGACUUCUAGGACCUGGA
Molecule: long non-coding RNA, 1162 nt
Filed under: Homo sapiens (human)
Lineage: Eukaryota; Metazoa; Chordata; Mammalia; Primates; Hominidae
Description: HSALNT0316458
Rfam family: SOX2 overlapping transcript exon 1 (bases 1-219)
Source: RNAcentral